AGAUGGGAGCACUCAGCUUCAGUGUUCAGAAGCAGAUUUAGGCCAAUUGCCAUACCUUACGUUCUGGAGGGAUCCACCCUGACCUGAGCAGAAGGCAUCACACACAUUCCCAAGCAGCAUGGUUCCCGUGAGAAACUGAAAACUAAUUUCUUGAAUCUACAAUGCGACUUCCAUCUUCCAGGUGUAACCAGAGUUUUUCCUGGAGCGAUUCCAGCUUGUUUCCUUUUGGUGCCUUCCUUAAGAAAUUUUGCAGCUGUUUCUGGUGCAGUUUUUGGGUGGGCUCUGGGGUGGGCAGACGAUCUCCACUUUGCAGAGGCUGCUCUUGUGAGUGGAGCUGGUGGUGAGGGAGUAGGAGAGGCCUCGCAUCAUCCUGGCAUUCAGGCCCUUAGCCAUGGAGAAGGACUUGAGGUGGCUUCUUAAGGUACUGGGGAGCGGGAGCUUGUCCACCAGAUGCACAGGUGUGCAGGACACGAUGGUGCGGCAGCAGAGGUCUUGCAAGCUCAGUACCUUGCUCGGCCUCCCGAGCCAAUUCAUCCUGUGCCGCAGCAGCACUAUCCUGGCCAGCUCCGUGAAAGACUCUAUGAUGUUGAAAUUGCACAGAGGGCUGACCUCAAAGAAGGUCACACCCAGGC
This is a long non-coding RNA of Homo sapiens (human), 632 nucleotides long. The record is from Ensembl. NCBI's taxonomy places the organism in Eukaryota, Metazoa, Chordata, Mammalia, Primates, Hominidae.